UACAGAGGGUGCGAGCGUUAAUCGGAAUUACUGGGCGUAAAGCGUGCGCAGGCGGUUAUGUAAGACAGGUGUGAAAUCCCCGGGCUUAACCUGGGAACUGCAUUUGUGACUGCAUCGCUGGAGUGCGGCAGAGGGGGAUGGAAUUCCGCGUGUAGCAGUGAAAUGCGUAGAUAUGCGGAGGAACACCGAUGGCGAAGGCAAUCCCCUGGGCCUGCACUGACGCUCAUGCACGAAAGCGUGGGGAGCAAACAGG
Molecule: ribosomal RNA, 253 nt
Filed under: uncultured bacterium
Lineage: Bacteria
Description: partial 16S ribosomal RNA
Rfam family: Bacterial small subunit ribosomal RNA
Source: RNAcentral